AAAUUUUUUAUCGAGUAUUAAAAUUUUAUUUCUGACAAUGUUAAUUAAUUAUCUGACGUCAUAGAAGGGUGGUACCUCCAAUUAAAAUGGCAGCCAAAGCACCAGACUAUCAACCAGCGGAGAGGUGGGGUCACUCCACUGUACGGGUAGGAGACUACCUGUACAUGUGGGGUGGGGACCAGCCUGGUCUCCCUAGAGUACAUAAUAAU
Molecule: long non-coding RNA, 209 nt
Organism: Amphimedon queenslandica
Lineage: Eukaryota; Metazoa; Porifera; Demospongiae; Haplosclerida; Niphatidae
Exons: 2
Source: RefSeq, a predicted model, not a curated record